RNAcentral lists this ribosomal RNA (332 nucleotides) under uncultured eukaryote. RNAcentral's name for it is "partial 18S ribosomal RNA". It matches the Rfam family "Eukaryotic small subunit ribosomal RNA", at positions 1470 to 1796 of the family's 1831-position model. The record is from RNAcentral.
CCCUUAGAUGUCCUGGGCUGCACGCGCGCUACACUGGAAGUUACGGAUUGAGAUACUACCUUGUCCGAAAUGGUCCGGGUAAUCACCUAAAAGCUUGUCAUAAUUGGAAUGGAUUAUUGUAACUAGUAAUCCUGAACGAGGAAUUUCUAGUAAGUCCCAGUCAACAGCUGGUACUGAUUACGUCCCUGCCCUUUGUACACACCGCCCGUCGCUACUACUGAUUGGACGUUUAAGCAAGAUUUUUAAACACUGACAGUGUGUAGUUCACGCUAUACUACAGUGAGAAGAAGAAGAUCGAGCUUACUUGUCUAGAGGAAGUAAAAGUCGUAACA